RNAcentral lists this ribosomal RNA (1571 nucleotides) under Cynopterus brachyotis (lesser short-nosed fruit bat). RNAcentral's name for it is "16S ribosomal RNA". It matches the Rfam family "Bacterial large subunit ribosomal RNA". Lineage: Eukaryota; Metazoa; Chordata; Mammalia; Chiroptera; Pteropodidae. The record is from RNAcentral.
ACAAAUACUAGCCCAAACCACAUAAAACACAACUUACAAAACCCAAUAAAACAAAACAUUUACUCUGGAUAAAAGUAUAGGAGAUAGAAAUUUUAAUUGGCGCUAUAGAGAAAGUACCGUAAGGGAAAGAUGAAAGACGGAUUAAAAGUAAGACAAAGCAAAGAUUACCCCUUGUACCUUUCGCAUAAUGAUUUAACUAGAACAACUUGACAAAGAGAACUUAAGCCAAGUAACCCGAAACCAGACGAGCUACCUAAGAGCAGCCAAAGAGCAAACUCAUCUAUGUGGCAAAAUAGUGAGAAGACUUUUAGGUAGAGGUGAAAAGCCUAUCGAGCCUGGUGAUAGCUGGUUGCCCAGAAAAGAAUUUUAGUUCAACUUUAAGCCUUGCCUAAAAACCCCUCUAAAUCAAAUGCAGACUUAAAAUAUAAUCUAAAAGGGUACAGCCUUUUAGAUACAGGAUACAACCUUAACUAGAGAGUAAGUAACAAACCCACCCCAUAGUUGGCCUAAAAGCAGCCAUCAAUUAAGAAAGCGUUCAAGCUCAACGAUUCACACAUACCCUAAUUUUAAGAAUGUCUACGAACCCCUAAAUUAAAACUGGGCUAUUCUAUUAAUAAAUAGAAGGGACACUGUUAAUAUGAGUAACAAGAAACAAUUUCUCCACGCACAAACUUAUAUCAGAACGGAUAAUCCACUGAUAGUUAACAGCAAGACAAUCCAAUUCUACAGAUAAAGCACACGUCAAGUUUACUGUUAACCCAACACAGGAGUGCCUCAAGGAAAGAUUAAAAGAAGUAAAAGGAACUCGGCAAACACAAACCCCGCCUGUUUACCAAAAACAUCACCUCCAGCAUAACCACUAUUGGAGGCACUGCCUGCCCAGUGACAUCUGUUAAACGGCCGCGGUAUCCUGACCGUGCAAAGGUAGCAUAAUCAUUUGUUCUCUAAAUAAGGACUUGUAUGAAUGGCCACACGAGGGUUUAACUGUCUCUUACUUCCAAUCAGUGAAAUUGACCUUCCCGUGAAGAGGCGGGAAUCCACAAAUAAGACGAGAAGACCCUAUGGAGCUUUAAUUAAUUAAUUCAUAAGCAAAUAAUGGCACUCUAAGGAAACACAAUAUACUGCAUAAUGAGUUAACAAUUUAGGUUGGGGUGACCUCGGAAUAUAAAACAACUUCCGAGUGAUUUAAAUCAAGACCUACAAGUCAAAACAACACAUCACUUAUUGAUCCAAAUAAUUGAUCAACGGAACAAGUUACCCUAGGGAUAACAGCGCAAUCCUAUUUAAGAGUCCAUAUCGACAAUAGGGUUUACGACCUCGAUGUUGGAUCAGGACAUCCCAAUGGUGCAGCCGCUAUUAAUGGUUCGUUUGUUCAACGAUUAAAGUCCUACGUGAUCUGAGUUCAGACCGGAGUAAUCCAGGUCGGUUUCUAUCUAUUAUGAGUUCCUCCCAGUACGAAAGGACAAGAGAAACGAGGCCAACCUGUUAACAGACGCCUUAGACCCAAUAGAUGAAAUAAUCUUAAUCUAGUAGUCACAGCAAAUAUCAGCCCGAGAGCAGGGCUCUUACAC